AUCCUUCGGUUCAUGCAAAUGAUGAUUGGUGCGUUCACGGACACUCCGUGAAAGGUGCAGCCCUCACUUGUUACGCUAUGCGCCUCAGCCCUUCUGAUC
Molecule: small nucleolar RNA, 99 nt
Organism: Seriola aureovittata
Lineage: Eukaryota; Metazoa; Chordata; Actinopteri; Carangiformes; Carangidae
Product: small nucleolar RNA U13
Exons: 1
Source: RefSeq, a predicted model, not a curated record